GGGGCGCCUGUGGGAGUCGUGGAGGGAACUUUCCCAGGCCCCGAGGCGGAUCGGGUAUUGAGUCCAUGGAGCGAGCUGAGAGCUAGAGUACAGAACCUGCUAAGGCCAUCAAACCUAUCGAUCGGAAGUCAGUCCAUCAGAUUUGCUCUGGGCCGGUGGUACUGAGUCUAAGCACUGCGGUGAAGGAGUUAGUAGAAAACAGUCUGGAUGCUGGUGCCACCAAUAUUGAUCUAAAGCUUAAGGACUAUGGAGUGGAUCUCAUUGAAGUUUCAGACAAUGGAUGUGGGGUAGAAGAAGAAAACUUUGAAGGCUUAAAUGCCAAACCUUAGAUUUUAUGAUGACUCCUCAACCGUUUAGAUCUUGGUUAUCUCAGAGGGAUCAUCAGCUUUUUAAGAAAGUUUUGAGAGAAAAGCAAGUGAAGAAAAACAUAGUCAAUGCUCAACAUCACGGGUCUCUCACUGAACACACCACACCUGGUAUUCUCUCACAGCGAUGUCACCAUUUCUACCUGCCACGCAUCGGCGAAGGUUGGGACUCGACUGGUGUUUGAUCACGAUGGGAAAAUCAUCCAGAAAACCCCCUACCCCCACCCCAGAGGGACCACAGUCAGCGUGAAGCAGUUAUUUUCUACACUACCUGUGCACCAUAAGGAAUUUCAAAGGAAUAUUAAGAAGACGUGCCUGUUUCCCCUUCGCCUUCUGCCGUGAUUGUCAGUUUCCUGAGGCCUCCCCAGCCAUGCUUCCUGUACAGCCUGCAGAACUGAUGGCCGUAUAAGAAAAUAAACAACUUGCUAAAACUGCUGAAACUCCCUCUGCUUGUGAGAUUUAAAAAAACUGGCUGAAAUUGGUUGGAACCAACAUGUCCAAUGGAGUCUGAAUAGAAAGAGCUUGCUGACAUCACAGCCCGAAUUUCCACCACAUUUCAUACUAACUCCCCCUGAAUUUGCAUAUGCAAACCACAAGCAAGCAUGAUCAAACAGACAACUGCGCGUGUCCGAGGACUUUCCAGAUCUCCCCUUUCCUUCCACCAAUCACUUACUAAUCUGAGAAUCCAUCCCCUAAUAAAAUCACUGCCUUAAAGCCUGCACAGGAAGACAAAUUUGA
This is a long non-coding RNA of Homo sapiens (human), 1103 nucleotides long. Ensembl annotates it as PMS1 homolog 2, mismatch repair system component pseudogene 4. Its record names the gene PMS2P4. Lineage: Eukaryota; Metazoa; Chordata; Mammalia; Primates; Hominidae. The record is from Ensembl.